This 1052-nucleotide long non-coding RNA is filed under the name Lathyrus oleraceus (garden pea). RNAcentral describes it as "Pisum sativum (pea) long non-coding RNA (PSAT_LNC032361)". The record is from RNAcentral. Lineage: Eukaryota; Viridiplantae; Streptophyta; Magnoliopsida; Fabales; Fabaceae.
UUGCUGAUAAUCCCAAAAAAGUAGUUACAUAGUUCUCCAAAAAAAAGGAAGUUUCAAAUUAAAUUUACAUAUUAAAAAAAAACUCCAAAUAAUCCAAAUUUACACAAAAAUCCAAAGGAGCAUUCGAUUAAUUUACAGGUUACAAAAAUAAUCUAAAAUUCUGAAAAUAAUUGAAUGGAGUCUAAUGGUUUGAAGUAGUCUUCAGAGACUUUCUCCAAAGCCAAUGGUCCCUUCAUGUAGUGCCCCAACUCAAAAAGCCAGCGCCCCUUUUCAAUCAAUUCAACAUCACUUCACCUGCAAAUGCAAAACCAAAUUCAAAGUUAAAAAAAANUUUUUGUGACCUGUUUUAUCUUAGGAAUUUUUGGCACAUUUUAUUUUUGAUAAUAUUAAUGUGUUAAAAUCAAUCAAAUUAAAAGUCCAUUAAAUUGCAUUGUUGAGCCCAAUCCAUUUUCAAUUUAAAUUAUAGUAAAUUUUCUUUUGAUUAAUACUAUUAGAGUGUUAAGGCAAGGUUUAGAAUUUAAAAAAAAAAAGACUAAUUGCGCAAAUCAUGUUCCAAAUAAUGUUCCAAGUGAUAUUCCAAAUCAUAUUUCAAUUAAGUCCAAAUGUUACAAGUUACUCUAAUAGAGCUUAAAUUAAAAUUAUAAAAAGAUCUUGCUGAUAAUCCCAAAAAAGUAGUUACAUAGUUCUCCAAAAAAAAAAGGAAGUUUCAAAUUAAAUUUACAUAUUAAAAAAAAACUCCAAAUAAUCCAAAUUUACACAAAAAUCCAAAGGAGCAUUUGAUUAAUUUACAGGUUACAAAAAUAAUCUAAAAUUCUGAAAAUAAUUGAAUGGAGUCUAAUGGUUUGAAGUAGUCUUAAGAGACUUUCUCCAAAGCCAAUGGUCCCUUCGUGUCGUGCCCCAACUCAAAAAGCCAGCGCCCCUUUUCAAUCAAUUCAACAUCACUUCACCUCCAAAUGCAAAACCAAAUUCAAAGUUAAAAAAACUGCUUAUCAAAAUAAGCACUUAAAACAAACUGGAAAAUAAACCAUAAAAUAAACGGAUUAUUUGGUUAC